CCUACGGGGGGCAGCAGUGGGGAAUAUUGCGCAAUGGGCGAAAGCCUGACGCAGCGACGCCGCGUGAGGGAUGAAGGUCUUCGGAUUGUAAACCUCUGUCUGCAGGGAAGAACGGUCACUGUGCUAAUCAGCAGUGACUUGACGGUACCUGCAAAGGAAGUCUCGGUUAACUCCGUGCCAGCCGCCGCGGUAAUACGGAGGGUGCGAGCGGUAAUCGGAAUUACUGGGCGUAAAGCGAUCGUAGGCGGUAUGUCAAGUCAAGGGUGAAAUCCCCGCGCUCAACGUGGGCACUGCCUUUGAAACUGGCAAACUGGAGUGUGUGAGAGGAUAGUGGAAGUCCAGGUGUAGGAGUGAAAUCCGUAGAUAUCUGGAAGAACAUC
This 380-nucleotide ribosomal RNA is filed under the name uncultured bacterium. RNAcentral describes it as "partial 16S ribosomal RNA". It matches the Rfam family "Bacterial small subunit ribosomal RNA", at positions 338 to 710 of the family's 1533-position model. The record is from RNAcentral.